GAUGAACGCUGGCGGCGUGCCUAAUACAUGCAAGUCGAGCGAACGGACGAGAAGCUUGCUUCUCUGAUGUUAGCGGCGGACGGGUGAGUAACACGUGGAUAACCUACCUAUAAGACUGGGAUAACUUCGGGAAACCGGAGCUAAUACCGGAUAAUAUUUUGAACCGCAUGGUUCAAAAGUGAAAGACGGUCUUGCUGUCACUUAUAGAUGGAUCCGCGCUGCAUUAGCUAGUUGGUAAGGUAACGGCUUACCAAGGCAACGAUGCAUAGCCGACCUGAGAGGGUGAUAGGCCGCACUGGAGCUGAGACACGGUCCAGACUCCUACGGGAGGCAGCAGUAGGGAAUCUUCCGCAAUGGGCGAAAGCCUGACGGAGCAACGCCGCGUGAGUGAUGAAGGUCUUCGGAUCGUAAAACUCUGUUAUUAGGGAAGAACAUAUGUGUAAGUAACUGUGCACAUCUUGACGGUACCUAAUCAGAAAGCCACGGCUAACUACGUG
This 497-nucleotide ribosomal RNA is filed under the name uncultured bacterium. RNAcentral's name for it is "partial 16S ribosomal RNA". It matches the Rfam family "Bacterial small subunit ribosomal RNA", at positions 28 to 507 of the family's 1533-position model. The record is from RNAcentral.